RNAcentral lists this ribosomal RNA (253 nucleotides) under uncultured bacterium. Its description in RNAcentral is "partial 16S ribosomal RNA". It matches the Rfam family "Bacterial small subunit ribosomal RNA", at positions 524 to 776 of the family's 1533-position model. The record is from RNAcentral.
UACAGAGGGGGCAAGCGUUGUUCGGAAUUACUGGGCGUAAAGGGCGCGUAGGCGGCCCGCUAAGUCGAACGUGAAAUCCCCGAGCUCAACUCGGGAACUGCGUCUGAUACUGGCGGGCUUGAAUCCGGGAGAGGGAUGCGGAAUUCCAGGUGUAGCGGUGAAAUGCGUAGAUAUCUGGAGGAACACCGGUGGCGAAGGCGGCAUCCUGGACCGGCAUUGACGCUGAGGCGCGAAAGCUAGGGGAGCAAACGGG